CUCUCUGUUGUCCUCAUUGUACAUGCUGUGUGUAUUUGUGUCGCUUACACAGCGCGUGCAAUGUGGACAUCGUGGAG
Molecule: microRNA precursor, 77 nt
Filed under: Struthio camelus australis
Lineage: Eukaryota; Metazoa; Chordata; Aves; Struthioniformes; Struthionidae
Description: mir-460 microRNA precursor family
Rfam family: mir-460 microRNA precursor family
Source: Rfam by way of RNAcentral